AACGAACGCUGGCGGCAUGCCUAACACAUGCAAGUCGAACGAGACCUUCGGGUCUAGUGGCGCACGGGUGCGUAACGCGUGGGAACCUGCCCUUAGGUUCGGAAUAACUCCCCGAAAGGGGUGCUAAUACCGGAUAAUGUCUUCGGACCAAAGAUUUAUCGCCUUUGGAUGGGCCUGCGUUGGAUUAGCUAGUUGGUAGGGUAAAAGCCUACCAAGGCGACGAUCCAUAGCUGGUCUGAGAGGAUGAUCAGCCACACUGGGACUGAGACACGGCCCAGACUCCUACGGGAAGCAGCAGUGGGGAAUAUUGGACAAUGGGCGAAAGCCUGAUCCAGCAAUGCCGCGUGAGUGAUGAAGGCCGUAGGGUUGUAAAGCUCUUUUACCCGGGAUGAUAAUGACAGUACCGGGAGAAUAAGCUCCGGCUAACUCCGUG
Molecule: ribosomal RNA, 433 nt
Filed under: uncultured bacterium
Lineage: Bacteria
Description: partial 16S ribosomal RNA
Rfam family: Bacterial small subunit ribosomal RNA
Source: RNAcentral